RNAcentral lists this unclassified non-coding RNA (387 nucleotides) under uncultured Actinomycetes bacterium. RNAcentral's name for it is "uncultured actinobacterium contains 16S-23S intergenic spacer region". Lineage: Bacteria; Bacillati; Actinomycetota; Actinomycetes. The record is from RNAcentral.
UCCGAGUUGACCCCGGCAGUCUCCCGUGAGUCCCCACCACCCCCGAAGGAGCGUGCUGGCAACACAGGAUAAGGGUUGCGCUCGUUGCGGGACUUAACCCAACAUCUCACGACACGAGCUGACGACAGCCAUGCACCACCUGUAUACCGACCACAAGGGGGGCCGUAUCUCUACGGCUUUCCGGUAUAUGUCAAACCCAGGUAAGGUUCUUCGCGUUGCAUUGAAUUAAUCCACAUGCUCCGCCGCUUGUGCGGGCCCCCGUCAAUUCCUUUGAGUCUUAGUCUUGCGACCGUACUCCCCAGGCGGGGCACUUAAUGCGUUAGCGACGGCGCGGAUCUCGUUGGUUGAGACCCACACCUAGUGCCCAACGUUUACGGCGUGGACUAC